RNAcentral lists this transfer RNA (63 nucleotides) under Cricetulus griseus (Chinese hamster). It matches the Rfam family "tRNA", at positions 5 to 66 of the family's 71-position model. Rfam says of the family: Transfer RNA (tRNA) molecules are approximately 80 nucleotides in length. Their secondary structure includes four short double-helical elements and three loops (D, anti-codon, and T loops). Further hydrogen bonds mediate the characteristic L-shaped molecular structure. tRNAs have two regions of fundamental functional importance: the anti-codon, which is responsible for specific mRNA codon recognition, and the 3' end, to which the tRNAs corresponding amino acid is attached (by aminoacyl-tRNA synthetases). tRNAs cope with the degeneracy of the genetic code in two manners: having more than one tRNA (with a specific anti-codon) for a particular amino acid; and 'wobble' base-pairing, i.e. permitting non-standard base-pairing at the 3rd anti-codon position. Lineage: Eukaryota; Metazoa; Chordata; Mammalia; Rodentia; Cricetidae. The record is from Rfam by way of RNAcentral.
GUGAAGCUCAGUGGUAGAGCAGUUGGCUGGUGUGCAUGAGGCCCUGGGUUUGAGUCCCAGCAC